CUUUUUGCUCACCCCACCUGGUACUCCAUGUCGUAGCUGGGCAGGAUGAUCCGCCCGUGCUUCCACUCGCCGCCCUGGUCCUCACGGAUGACCCACAGCAACUUGCUCUCCUGGCUGGCUUCCCGCACCACCUGCAGCGCCACCCCGCGGCCGCCCGUGGCCUGGACUUCAGGCAGGCCAUUUUCCAUGGAUUUCAGCAGUUAUCUAGUGAGGGAGAAUGAGACAGCUAUAAAGAUACCAGCCACUGAACACUCCAUCAAGGGAUCCCACAGAAGACACAUCCCUCCAUUACUUGCUUCUUGGUUCAUACCAAAACCAGGGAACUAAAGAAUCAUCAAGGGCCCCUGGUGGUUGCUCUCAUGUGAGUGUCCAAAGCACUGGAGCAGUGUUGUCCAAUACAUUCUGUGAUGAUGCCGUGUAUACAGUGACGUGCCCUGUCUAUGCACUGACCAAUACAGUGUAGCUACUGUGCCCUUGGAAUGUGGCUGGUGGGACAGCAGAACCGAAGUUUUGGCUGUAAUCAUUUUAAUUAAUUAAAAUAAAAUUGCCACACAU
Long non-coding RNA from Homo sapiens (human), 555 nucleotides. Ensembl annotates it as NRP2 antisense RNA 1. Its record names the gene NRP2-AS1. The record is from Ensembl. NCBI's taxonomy places the organism in Eukaryota, Metazoa, Chordata, Mammalia, Primates, Hominidae.